RNAcentral lists this ribosomal RNA (489 nucleotides) under uncultured bacterium. RNAcentral describes it as "partial 16S ribosomal RNA". It matches the Rfam family "Bacterial small subunit ribosomal RNA", at positions 30 to 506 of the family's 1533-position model. The record is from RNAcentral.
AUUGAACGCUGGCGGCAGGCCUAACACAUGCAAGUCGAACGGUAACAGGAAGCAGCUUGCUGCUUUGCUGACGAGUGGCGGACGGGUGAGUAAUGUCUGGGAAACUGCCCGAUGGAGGGGGAUAACUACUGGAAACGGUAGCUAAUACCACAUAACGUCGCAAGACCAAAGAGGGGGACCUUAGGGCCUCUUGCCAUCGGAUGUGCCCAGAUGGGAUUAGCUAGUAGGUGGGGUAACGGCUCACCUAUGCGACGAUCCCUAGCUGGUCUGAGGGGAUGACCAGCCACACUGAAGCUGAGACACGGUCCAGACUCCUACGGGAGGCAGCAGUGGGGAAUAUUGCACAAUGGGCGCAAGCCUGAUGCAGCCAUGCCGCGUGUAUGAAGAAGGCCUUCGGGUUGUAAAGUACUUUCAGCGGGGAGGAAGGGAGUAAAGUUAAUACCUUUGCUCAUUGACGUUACCCGCAGAAGAAGCACCGGCUAACUCCGU